RNAcentral lists this ribosomal RNA (497 nucleotides) under uncultured bacterium. RNAcentral's name for it is "partial 16S ribosomal RNA". It matches the Rfam family "Bacterial small subunit ribosomal RNA", at positions 28 to 507 of the family's 1533-position model. The record is from RNAcentral.
GAUGAACGCUGGCGGCGUGCCUAAUACAUGCAAGUCGAGCGAACAGAUGAGGAGCUUGCUCCUCUGACGUUAGCGGCGGACGGGUGAGUAACACGUGGAUAACCUACCUAUAAGACUGGGAUAACUUCGGGAAACGGAAGCUAAUACCGGAUAAAAAAUUAAACGGCAGGGUUAAUAAGUGAAGGACGGUUUUGCUGUCCCUUAAAGAUGGAUCCGCGCCGCAUUAGCUAGUUGGUAAGGUAACGGCUUACCAAGGCGACGAUGCGUAGCCGACCUGAGAGGGUGAUCGGCCACACUGGAACUGAGACACGGUCCAGACUCCUACGGGAGGCAGCAGUAGGGAAUCUUCCGCAAUGGGCGAAAGCCUGACGGAGCAACGCCGCGUGAGUGAUGAAGGUCUUCGGAUCGUAAAACUCUGUUAUUAGGGAAGAACAAAUGUGUAAGUAACUAUGCACGUCUUGACGGUACCUAAUCAGAAAGCCACGGCUAACUACGUG